RNAcentral lists this long non-coding RNA (231 nucleotides) under Mytilus galloprovincialis (Mediterranean mussel). Lineage: Eukaryota; Metazoa; Mollusca; Bivalvia; Mytilida; Mytilidae. The record is from RNAcentral.
AAAUCAAUAAAAUGUUAACACAAUGUUUAUAACCACAAAAGGAAGCUUGUGAUUGAUUUUGGGGGUUAUGGUCCCUAAGGUUUAGGAAUUAGGGGCCCAAAGGACCCAAAAAUAGCAUUUAUCUAGUGUCAGAACAAUAAGUUGUGUAUAAGUAUUUCAAUUGUUCUGAAAUUGUACCACAAUGUUUAAUACCAUAAGAAGAAGGUUGAGAUAUAUUUUAAAGGUUAUGGG